This 89-nucleotide non-coding RNA is filed under the name unclassified sequences. RNAcentral describes it as "GEMM RNA". It matches the Rfam family "c-di-GMP-I riboswitch aptamer", at positions 11 to 87 of the family's 87-position model. Rfam says of the family: GEMM was predicted in a large-scale screen for bacterial structured RNA regulatory elements. Genes associated with GEMM are involved in a diverse array of functions, including chemotaxis regulation, signal transduction, secretion and chitin. The record is from RNAcentral.
UUUGGCAAACUAAUUGAAAAAUUAGGACGCAAAGCCUCCGGUCUAAGGUUGUAAAGGGAUGUUGAAACUAAGAUAGCGGGGUUGCCUAA